UUAAAUUUGACUAGCAUAAUAGUUAAAUAUGGUCUAAAACAGCAGUUUGACUAUUUGUUGUAAUCAAAAAUAUUUGACUAGCCAAAUAGUCAGUAUUUCCCUCGCAUUAGCCGGUAAGUUGCCCAGCAACAGUGUUGGUAACAAACAAGAGUACGUUUGAAUUGGUUUGAAUCUUACAGCGUUUGUUUCCGCCAUAGAUAUAGAAGAAGAUUUCUAAGAAGAAUCUUCUUCUAUAUCUAUGGUUCCUGCGUGUUGCAUGACUUGCAUCCUACGUUUGUUCAGCGAUGGAUGAGUUCGUGAGAAGAACGUUAAAAGAAUUGGGCCUUGAGGCGUACACAGAUGUAUUUAUAGGAAGAAUGGUUUUUCAGGUCAUCUGGUAAGCAGCCAUGUGGGGGGCUUAUUCAGACCAGGUUGAAUAAUGUUAGAAAACGGGACGCCCUUCUCAGAUCACCUAGAGCAGCUAAAAUGCCAAAAAUCUGCAUUGAUGACAGAGAUGAUGAAGGUGGAGCUUAUUUUAGAGAUGCUGAUGCUGACGUAGAUGCAGAUGAAGAGAUGACCAUGAAACAGCGAUGGUGUAAGCACCACAGAGAGCCGACUGCAACCGUUGCUGAGUAC
Molecule: long non-coding RNA, 615 nt
Organism: Priapulus caudatus
Lineage: Eukaryota; Metazoa; Priapulida; Priapulimorpha; Priapulimorphida; Priapulidae
Exons: 3
Source: RefSeq, a predicted model, not a curated record